CUUCCUCGAUCUGCUGCGGGCAGAUGAAAUGGAUGUGGCUGUCGAUGCCGCCUGCGGUGACGAUGUUGCCUUCGCAGCUGAUCACCUCGGUGCCGGGCCCGAUCACGAUGUCGACGCCCGGCUGCGUGUCCGGGUUGCCGGACUUGCCGAUCGCCACGAUGCGCCCGCCCGAGAGGCCGAUGUCCGCCUUCACCACGCCCCAGUGGUCGAGGAUCAGCGCAUUGGUCAUCACGGUGUCGACCGCGCCUUGGCUACGGCUUCGCUGCGAUUGCGCCAUGCCGUCGCGGAUG
Molecule: small RNA, 290 nt
Filed under: Burkholderiales bacterium 8X
Lineage: Bacteria; Pseudomonadati; Pseudomonadota; Betaproteobacteria; Burkholderiales
Description: 5_ureB_sRNA
Rfam family: 5' ureB small RNA
Source: RNAcentral